CAUGUCCUUUUGACUAUAAUUUAAGGUUUAAUCUGCUCAAUGAGGAUUUAAAUUGCCGCGGUAUUUUGACCGUGCAAAGGUAGCAUAAUAAUUAGUUUUUUUAUUGAAAGCUGGAAUGAAUGAUUGGACGAGAAAAUUACUGUCUCUUUUUUAUUUAUUUUUGAAUUUAACUUUUGAGUAAAAAGGCUCAAAUUUUUUUUAUAGACGAGAAGACCCUAUAGAGUUUAAUAAUUAGUAUUUAUUAAUUUUUUGGUAUUUAAGUAGUUAGUAUUUUAUAGAUUAUUUAGUUGGGGUGACUGGAAGAUUAAAUAAACUCUUCUGUUUAAAAUCAAUGAUUUUUGAAUAUAUAAUCUGAUUUUUUCAAAUUUAAUAUAAAUUACCUUAGGGAUAACAGCGUAAUUUCUUUUUAGAGUUCUUAUUAAAAGAGAAGUUUGCGACCUCGAUGUUGGAUUAAAAUUUAUUUCUGGUGCAGAAGCUAGAAUAUUGAGUCUGUUCGACUUUUAAAAUUUUACAUGAUCUGAGU
Molecule: ribosomal RNA, 523 nt
Filed under: Megapenthini sp. UPOL RK0014
Lineage: Eukaryota; Metazoa; Arthropoda; Insecta; Coleoptera; Elateridae
Description: partial 16S ribosomal RNA
Rfam family: Archaeal large subunit ribosomal RNA
Source: RNAcentral